GGUCCUGUAGUGUACUGGUUGUGCACACCAGAUUGUCAAUCUGGAGGUGCGGGUUCGACUCCCGUCAGGACCG
This 73-nucleotide transfer RNA is filed under the name Gloeobacter violaceus SpSt-379. RNAcentral describes it as "tRNA-Asp". It matches the Rfam family "tRNA". From Rfam's summary of the family: Transfer RNA (tRNA) molecules are approximately 80 nucleotides in length. Their secondary structure includes four short double-helical elements and three loops (D, anti-codon, and T loops). Further hydrogen bonds mediate the characteristic L-shaped molecular structure. tRNAs have two regions of fundamental functional importance: the anti-codon, which is responsible for specific mRNA codon recognition, and the 3' end, to which the tRNAs corresponding amino acid is attached (by aminoacyl-tRNA synthetases). tRNAs cope with the degeneracy of the genetic code in two manners: having more than one tRNA (with a specific anti-codon) for a particular amino acid; and 'wobble' base-pairing, i.e. permitting non-standard base-pairing at the 3rd anti-codon position. The record is from RNAcentral. Lineage: Bacteria; Bacillati; Cyanobacteriota; Cyanophyceae; Gloeobacterales; Gloeobacteraceae.